Molecule: unclassified non-coding RNA, 294 nt
Filed under: uncultured fungus
Lineage: Eukaryota; Fungi
Description: partial contains small subunit ribosomal RNA, internal transcribed spacer 1, and 5.8S ribosomal RNA
Rfam family: Eukaryotic small subunit ribosomal RNA (bases 1-73)
Source: RNAcentral
ACAAACUUGGUCAUUUAGAGGAAGUAAAAGUCGUAACAAGGUUUCCGUAGGUGAACCUGCGGAAGGAUCAUUAAAGGAUGGUCAACGGGAUGUGCUGGCGGCCUAACGCCGCAUGUGCACUCCCUUAACUAACCCACACACCUGUGAACCUUGGACCUUGCCUGCCCCCUCUGGAGGUGGGCUUGUGUUCUUACCAUACAAAAUCCAAUUGAUUUGACUCUGGAAUGCGUGUUGUAAUCUAAAACAACCAUCAGCAACGGAUCUCUUGGCAUCCCAAUCGAUGAAGAACGCAGC